RNAcentral lists this ribosomal RNA (368 nucleotides) under uncultured organism. RNAcentral's name for it is "bacterial LSU rRNA". It matches the Rfam family "Bacterial large subunit ribosomal RNA", at positions 2099 to 2465 of the family's 2925-position model. The record is from RNAcentral.
CUUGACUGUAGCCUGGAAUUGGGUUCGGGCUUUUCUUGCGCAGACUAGGUGGGAGGCUAUGAAGAUUUCCUUCCGGGGGAGUUGGAGCCAUCAGUGAGAGACCACUCUGGAGAGGCUAGAAUCCUAAUGGUGAUCCUUGAAUCAGGACACUUGACAGUUUCAGGUGGGCAGUUUUUCUGGGGCGGAAGCCUCAUAAAGGGUAACUGAGGCGCGCAAAGGUCCCCUCAGUCUGGACGGAAAUCAGACAACGAGUGUAAAGGCAAAAGGGGGCUUGACUGCAAGACCUACAAGUCGAGCAGGAGCGAAAGCUGGCCUUAGUGAUCCGACGGUACCGUGUGGAAGGGCCGUCGCUCAACGAGUAAAAGUUA